Molecule: non-coding RNA, 1178 nt
Organism: Peromyscus leucopus (white-footed mouse)
Lineage: Eukaryota; Metazoa; Chordata; Mammalia; Rodentia; Cricetidae
Source: the annotation of a RefSeq genome assembly
GGACCUCUGCAUGUCUCCUGUAGGUGUGCAGGCUUAGGCCCCUGGAAGGUGAGGUCUUCCCAGUGGGUGUUGGAGGGAAGCAUAUUCCCCUCUUUCCCCCCUUAGUGCUGAUGUGCUUCUUACCUUGUUAUUAAAUUACUGCAUCUUGAAAUGAUGGACAGCUGGCUUCAGAAAAGGCUCUCAUGAGCAAUGAGGCUGCCUUUCUUGGGAUGAAGGAAAGUAAGGCUGAGUGUGCCUGAGCUGGGUCUAUGAGAGGCAGAAGGAAGGGCGUCUAUCCAAAGGAGUGAAUCUGUGUCAGGAGAGGAGGAGGUAUUACAAAGCAGACAGAAGAGUGUGCCAUUUGCUGGUACAAGCAGUUGUCAGAGGUGCCUUGGGAGGCUGCUGGGUAUGGUCUCUGUCUGGCAGUCUAUGUAUGCAUGAUCAGCCCUGACAAGCACAAAGGGCAGAGAGGAAGUGUGAGCUGAAGCCACUUACAGGAACAGGGAGCACCCAAGCAAACCCUCUCACAUGGUAAGUACAAGGCACCUAGACAGCCAGGUCCCAAAGAAGGAGACAUAGAUCCCAUCCUGUGCAACAUUAUGAUGGGUUCCAGACUCUUCAAUUGCCUGGCCCUUUGUCUCUUGGUGGCAGGUCCAGUGGAUCCUAGAAUUAUCCAGACACCAAAACAUCUGGUGACAGUCAAGGGGAAUGAAAGGACCCUGAAAUGUGAACAGCAUCUAUCUCACAAUGCUAUGUACUGGUAUAGACAAAGUGCUAAGAAGUCCCUACAGCUCAUGUUUUCUUAUAAUUAUCAAAAACUCGUUGAAAACCAAACUAUCUCAACCCGAUUCCAACCUCACAAUCCAGGGAAAUCCGACCUAGACCUUCAGAUCUCAGCCCUGGAGCCUGAUGACUCAGCCACAUAUUUCUGUGCUAGCAGCCAAGACACAGCCCUUCAGAGCUCUUGCUCUCCUGUACACAAACCUCCUCAGUCUAUCCAGGAAACGGUUGCUCUAACAGGUCCACCUGAGCCCAGAGACACAGUCAGUAGUGCACAGGACUCAUGUAGAAACCACAGACCACAACACCACCUGCCAAUUAGAUAUCUUAUUCCCAAAUUCUUUGUCUGCAUAGCAGCAGUCUUUGAAUUGAGUAAGAUGGGGUCUAGAGUUGAAUAUGGGACUGACCAGCUCAACUGA